CCUACGGGAGGCAGCAGUGAGGAAUAUUGGUCAAUGGACGAGAGUCUGAACCAGCCAAGUAGCGUGAAGGAUGACUGCCCUAUGGGUUGUAAACUUCUUUUAUAUGGGAAUAAAACGUUCCACGUGUGGGAUUUUGUAUGUACCAUAUGAAUAAGGAUCGGCUAACUCCGUGCCAGCAGCCGCGGUAAUACGGAGGAUCCGAGCGUUAUCCGGAUUUAUUGGGUUUAAAGGGAGCGUAGGUGGAUUGUUAAGUAAGUUGUGAAAGUUUGCGGCUCAACCGUAAAAUUGCAGUUGAAACUGGCAGUCUUGAGUACAGUAGAGGUGGGCGGAAUGCGUGGUGUAGCGGUGAAAUGCUUAGAUAUCACGAAGAACUCCGAUUGCGAAGGCAGUUCACUGGACUGCAACUGACACUGAGGCUCGAAAGUGUGGGUAUCAAACAGGAUUAGAUACCCCUGUAGUC
RNAcentral lists this ribosomal RNA (460 nucleotides) under uncultured bacterium. RNAcentral describes it as "partial 16S ribosomal RNA". It matches the Rfam family "Bacterial small subunit ribosomal RNA", at positions 338 to 795 of the family's 1533-position model. The record is from RNAcentral.